RNAcentral lists this ribosomal RNA (306 nucleotides) under uncultured bacterium. Its description in RNAcentral is "bacterial SSU rRNA". It matches the Rfam family "Bacterial small subunit ribosomal RNA", at positions 790 to 1094 of the family's 1533-position model. The record is from RNAcentral.
GUAGUCCACGCCGUAAACGAUGUCAACUAGCCGUUGGGGGUCUUGUACCUUUAGUGGCGCAGCUAACGCAAUAAGUUGACCGCCUGGGGAGUACGGUCGCAAGAUUAAAACUCAAAUGAAUUGACGGGGGCCCGCACAAGCGGUGGAGCAUGUGGUUUAAUUCGACGCAACGCGAAGAACCUUACCAGGUCUUGACAUCCCGAGAAUUCGCUAGAGAUAGCUUAGUGCCUUCGGGAACUCGGUGACAGGUGCUGCAUGGCUGUCGUCAGCUCGUGUCCGUGAGAUGUUGGGUUAAGUCCCGCAACG